ACCCACUCGUGCGCCGCGGCCUUAUCCCAAAGUUGCAUUGCAUCCAUCGUGCCUGAUCUCCCUCCCAAUAAGCACGUCUGUUUCUCCCCAGCUCCAAGCCGGACGACGCAGCGUAGCAGCAGAGAGCCAGAGACCAGAGAUGGCCGCCCUCGCCGCCGCCUCCACGGCCGCCUUCGCCGCGAAGCCGCGCGCGCGCCUCUCCGUGGCCUGCUCCGCCGCCACCGGCGACAGCAGCAGCGUGUCGCUCGCGUCCUCCGUGAAGACGUUCUCCGCCGCGCUGGCGCUGUCGUCGGUGCUGCUGUCCUCGGCCGCCACCUCCCCUCCGCCCGCGGCCGCCGACAUCGCGGGGCUGACCCCGUGCAAGGAGUCCAAGGCGUUCGCGAAGCGCGAGAAGAACUCGAUCAAGAAGCUCACCGCGUCGCUGAAGAAGUACGCGCCCGACAGCGCCCCCGCGCUCGCCAUCAACGCCACCAUCGAGAAGACCAAGCGCCGGUUCGAGAACUACGGCAAGUUCGGGCUGCUGUGCGGCGCCGACGGCCUGCCGCACCUCAUCGUCAGCGGCGACCAGCGGCACUGGGGCGAGUUCGUCACCCCGGGCCUGCUCUUCCUCUACAUCGCCGGCUGGAUCGGGUGGGUCGGCAGGAGCUACCUCAUCGCCAUCAGCGGCGAGAAGAAGCCCGCCAUGAGGGAGAUCAUCAUCGACGUCGAGCUCGCCACCCGCCUCCUCCCCAGGGGGUUCAUCUGGCCCGUCGCCGCCUACCGCGAGCUCAUCAACGGGGACCUCGUCGUCGACGACAAGGACAUCGGCUACUACUAGCUGCGCUUGUUCACCUGCUUGCACUGUGCAUAUAUAUUGCUGCUGCCGAGCUGGGCGCUUGGAUAGUACGUGGGGAAACAUGGAUGGCUUUUGGUGUAGGAGCUGCAUGCUUUGCUAGGGCUAUCUGGUCAUGUAGGAAAUGGAAGCUCUGCUGUACUUUAAGAAACUUGAUGAAACCUUUGUAUAACUCAACUGUACCUCUAUCUAUCCCUUGUGUGUAUUUGAGAACGAUUUCAGAGCAUGUCUGGUUCGGGCGUCUAUUAGGGCUUGUUCAUUUAGCUCUUAAUCCAUGUGGAUUGAGUCGGAUUGAAUGGGUUUGAAUCACAAACAAGUCAAACUUCUUUUUAAUUUUUUCCAAUCCCAUCCAAUCCAUGUGUAUUGGGAAUAACCGAACAAGACCUUAGAUGGAGCAUAAAUUUUUUUCAAUCCCAUCCAAUCCAUGUGUAUUGGUAAACUAGAGGGAAGCGGCGAGCUGUUACAUUAUUAGACCUAGAAUGACUUUGUUCUGUGUUUAUAAGAUAGAAGGCCCCAUUCUAUUCCGUGAGCG
This 1364-nucleotide unclassified non-coding RNA is filed under the name Zea mays. RNAcentral's name for it is "misc RNA Zm00001eb059380". Lineage: Eukaryota; Viridiplantae; Streptophyta; Magnoliopsida; Poales; Poaceae. The record is from RNAcentral.